AGUCCGUCUUCACAGACCUCCACUCCGUACUUCCCACAAGGCCGGAUUCACCGAACCCCAUUCCACGUCCUGAUUUCGGUGGAUAUCUGCGCCCCACAGCCCGGCUCUCCUCAUACAGGGUUUUGCGAAGUCUAUCAGACAUGGCCAAUGGCUGAUGCGUGCACCAAGGGAGACGGAAGAGGAAAAAGCUGAAGAUGCAGGAGGCUCUGCGGCCCUCAUUCUGGAUGAGCCCGAGCUCUCCAUGGGAUCACGGAUGUUGCCAAGGAUUCACCAACACCCCAAAGGUGCUUCAGCCCUCCAAGUGGUGAUACCCAGAGAUCAGACCACAGGCAAGGGGAACUCAGACGAUGCGUCCAGGCAGAAGCUCCACAGAAGACACGGCGAGUGCUGAAGGAGACACCCUGCCCGCUCAGGAGCACAGAGGACCUCAGGAGUCAGCCUCCAGGCCCUGACUCAUCCCCCUUCUGCUUCACACCCCUCACCUCUCUGCAUUCUCCUAAAGCCCAAACCUGUCCCUUCUGAGUCACGGCUGGGCCAAGGUCUACUUGGAUCCCAUCUGCCCACUCUUCCCUUCCUGGGUCUGGCUUAACUAUUUUAGGUUUCUAAUCUAGGUUUCGGCCUCCAUGACAACCAAAAAAGUAAACAGCCUCAAAUAUGACAAGCCCUCCUCUCCCUCUCCCUCUCCCUCCCCCCUCUCUCAUUUCAUCUCUGUCACGCAUAUAAUAUGUAGCACAUAUAUGUGGUGCAUGGAUGUAUAUGCAAGGCGAAUCACAAGAAAAGGAUAGGAAAAAUGUGUAGUUCAAAAGGAAAAUAGUCAGAAAUCUUGGAGAGAGAGAGAGAGAGAGAGAGAGAGAGAGAGAGAGAGAGAAUAUAUCCUAGGGGUAGGCAAAGGAACUCAUAGCUGUCUGUAAUUGGCAGCCACCACAUCCUAAAACAAAAUCAGACUUCCAGAAUAUGCAGCUUGGACACCAUGGCAACAGACCUGAGACCUUCAGGCUGUCUUUCCAAAAUGACUCCUUCCUAGACCAUACCCACAUCAAAGGAGCCUCUUGGACUCCUCCAUGGAAGAGGCAGCACCCAGGGCCCCCUCAGACCUCCACAGGGCUGGGUGAGGGGAAAAAAGCAGGCAGAUGAGAGACAAGUCAGAGGCCUCCAGAGGAGACACAGGCUUGGCGAGGAGCAGCCAAGUGAGACACAGCAGAAGGAGAUGUAGUCAGGUCUUAGGGGCUUCUAUCCUAUGGAUGAGCACACUGCUCAUCCAAGGCUGCCACUGGUAGCAUGUUUCCUUCCUCUCCCUCCUCCUCCUCUUCCUCCUCCUCUUCCUCCUUUUCAUCCUUUUCCUCCUCUUCCUCCUCCUCCUUUUCCUCCUCCUCUCCCUACUCCUCUUCCUCCUCCCUUUUCUCCUCCUCCUCCUCUUCUUCCUCCUUUUUCUCCUCCUCCUCUCCCUCCUCCUCUCCUUCCUCCUCCUCUUCCUCUCCCUCCUCCUCCUUCUCUUCCUCCUCUUCCUCUUCCUGCUCUUCCUCUUCUCCUUCAUCCUCCUCCAGCCCCCCUCUUCCUAUUUAAACUGAAU
This is a non-coding RNA of Rattus norvegicus (Norway rat), 1570 nucleotides long. The record is from RefSeq and is a predicted model, not a curated record. Lineage: Eukaryota; Metazoa; Chordata; Mammalia; Rodentia; Muridae.